This 439-nucleotide ribosomal RNA is filed under the name uncultured bacterium. RNAcentral's name for it is "partial 16S ribosomal RNA". It matches the Rfam family "Bacterial small subunit ribosomal RNA", at positions 339 to 795 of the family's 1533-position model. The record is from RNAcentral.
CUACGGGGCGCUCCAGUGAGGAAUAUUGCACAAUGGGGGAAACCCUGAUGCAGCAACGCCGCGUGGAGGAUGACGCAUUUCGGUGUGUAAACUCCAUUUAUCAGAGAAGAAAAUGACGGUAUCUGAUGAAUAAGCUCCGGCUAACUCCGUGCCAGCAGCCGCGGUAAUACGGAGGGAGCAAGCGUUAUUCGGAAUCACUGGGCGUAAAGGACGCGUAGGCGGGUUUUUAAGUCAGGUGUGAAAUCCUAUGGCUCAACCAUAGAACUGCACUUGAAACUGGGGACCUAGAGUAUGGAAGGGGCAGGUGGAAUUAGUGGUGUAGGGGUAAAAUCCGUAGAUAUCACUAGGAAUACCGAAAGCGAAGGCGACCUGCUGGGACAUUACUGACGCUGAGGCGUGAAAGCGUGGGGAGCAAACAGGAUUAGAUACCCCCGUAGUC